Molecule: non-coding RNA, 150 nt
Filed under: Thalassovita taeanensis
Lineage: Bacteria; Pseudomonadati; Pseudomonadota; Alphaproteobacteria; Rhodobacterales; Roseobacteraceae
Description: Phaeobacter sp. G4 Ruegeria cis2 sRNA
Rfam family: Ruegeria cis2 sRNA
About the family: Cis-encoded. Targets ABC transporter. Functions in transport.
Source: Rfam by way of RNAcentral
GCUGUAGCGCGGCGUGUAGUUGAUGAAGGUAAAGCCGCGCGCCUGAUCAAUGCAGUGGAACAGCGGGUUCCAGUCAAACAGGUUCAGCAUGAAUGUCGGCAGCGAGUUGGCCAGGAACAUCUUGCCCGAGGCGAUCAUGUUGGCGCGCUG